Molecule: long non-coding RNA, 1455 nt
Filed under: Pan troglodytes (chimpanzee)
Lineage: Eukaryota; Metazoa; Chordata; Mammalia; Primates; Hominidae
Description: long non-coding RNA NONPTRT005017
Source: RNAcentral
AGGGGAACUGGAGGUCCCUACUCAGGGAGGCCACCUGGGCUCCCAGGGCCAGCCCACAGCUCACAAGGACGUGCCGGGCAAACUGGGGCCCCUGGGCUGCCUCCAGCCUCACAGGAACACCCCAUCUUGCAAACACAUGCUGAAGCAGCACCUGGGCCACAGCCGUGUGUGUGUAGGGCUUCAGGGGGAAUGCCUCCACCCACCUGGUGUUUGGGUCAGCCACAAUAAGUACAUGCUUAUGGCCCUCUUCACUUAUGGUGACCGGGCCCACCACCUCGAUCUGCAGGUUCGACCAGGGGGCGGUCGACCUGAGGGGCCAUGGGGACUCAAUAACCUUCAACUCGCUGCCUAUGAGAUUUCGGGGGAUGCAGAACAAGCAGCUCCUGCAGUAAUCUUUCACAUGCUCCUGCAUCCCAGGCCACCACCCCAGCAAACGCAACUUCUUGUAGGUCUCUUCGGGCCUCUGGUGGGCCCCCAAGGGAAUGUCAUGCACAGAGAAAAUCAGAUCCCUCCGGAGUUGCGUCGGGACUACCCAGACCCUGGGCUUCUUAUCUCCCUUGAACAUAAGCAGGCCACUCUCCUUGUCGAGGCUGAGUGAGUUAAAGGCAGAACUAAACGGUGAGGAGCCAGACAGUUUCUGCCCAGCCUGCAGCCUGGCAAUGAUAUCGGCCAGGGUGCUGUCACUCAGCUGUAAUGCCAGCAAAUUGGGCCUCUUGCCCAUGGCAUGGGGACUCACUGUAGGGGCUGGCACAUCCUUUGGCAAACUCCACCACUGCCCACCCCCCUGGGCACCCUGCUUGGCCAGGGUGUCCACUGUCACAGCAAACAGAGAGCCCCGGUAGGAGGUUCGGUAGAUAAACGGAAGGGAUGAGAGGCCAGAGGUGAGGGAUAUAAUGUAGGAGAGCAGGCUUGGGUGAGGGAGUGGAGCCCCAUCAGAGGAGAGGAAGCCCCGAGCCCUCCAGAGGGGCAGGAGCUCCCACAGGAGGCUGAAGAUCCAGUUGCAGUGAGUGAGGAAAACCACUGGGAGUGGGGACUGGCCAAAGCGCUCCAGGCCGCAGGCCACGGUUGCCAGGUGGGCAUAGGUUGGCGUGUAAGGGGAGCAUGAGAAGGAAAGGGAGACAGGGGGGCUGGUGGGCGAUAGAACAUAGAGACCAAAGCCAGCACACCACUCAUCCUCACGGUAGAAGCAGUAGCCAGACAUGUGGAUGCAGACGAACGUGGACAGGUCAGAGAAAGGCGGCAGAACCUGGAAGAAGCGAGGCAUGGAGGCCGCGGGGGUGAGCAGGCGGUUCUCCCCCAGCAGGCCCUGGAGGAGGGCCAAUUCCAGGGCCCUCUUGCCUUUGUCCUGAACCAAGAGGGACCAUCGGAUCAACCAAGCUUUGGAAACCCUGCGGCCCUCCUGCACCUCAGGGUCCGCAGUGGUCCGGGAGGCAUAGGAAAGGUCCAGGACCACCG